UACGAAGGGGGCUAGCGUUGCUCGGAAUUACUGGGCGUAAAGGGCGCGUAGGCGGCACUGUUAGUCAGGCGUGAAAUUCCUGGGCUCAACCUGGGGACUGCGCUUGAUACGGCAGAGCUAGAGGAUGGAAGAGGCUCGCGGAAUUCCCAGUGUAGAGGUGAAAUUCGUAGAUAUUCGGAAGAACACCAGUGGCGAAGGCGGCUCACUGGCCCGGUACUGACGCUGAGGUGCGAAAGCGUGGGGAGCAAACAGG
RNAcentral lists this ribosomal RNA (253 nucleotides) under uncultured bacterium. RNAcentral describes it as "partial 16S ribosomal RNA". It matches the Rfam family "Bacterial small subunit ribosomal RNA", at positions 524 to 776 of the family's 1533-position model. The record is from RNAcentral.